GAUGAGCGCUGGCGGCGUGCUUAAGACAUGCAAGUCGAACGCAGUCCGGUCGCAAGACUGGGCUGAGUGGCGAAUGGGUGCGUAACACGUAGGUGACCUGCCCGGAAGUGGGGAAUAACAGUCCGAAAGGACUGCUAAUACCGCAUACGGUGCACGGGUUUUGAAGCCGUGCUCCAAAGGUUUGCGCAAGCGAGCCGCUUUCGGAGGGGCCUGCGGCCCAUCAGCAGUUGGUAGGGUAACGGCCUACCAAGGCGACGACGGGUAGGGGACCUGAGAGGGUGACCCC
This 286-nucleotide ribosomal RNA is filed under the name uncultured bacterium. RNAcentral describes it as "partial 16S ribosomal RNA". It matches the Rfam family "Bacterial small subunit ribosomal RNA", at positions 28 to 307 of the family's 1533-position model. The record is from RNAcentral.